This 228-nucleotide long non-coding RNA is filed under the name Lathyrus oleraceus (garden pea). RNAcentral describes it as "Pisum sativum (pea) long non-coding RNA (PSAT_LNC020508)". The record is from RNAcentral. Lineage: Eukaryota; Viridiplantae; Streptophyta; Magnoliopsida; Fabales; Fabaceae.
AAGCCAUGACAAACUUCAAGGUGUCUAGAAUCACUCCACAAAAUUUCAAGUCCAUCCAAUACAUAUCAAGAAUUUCACAAAACAUUUAAGAUCAUGACUCACAAAACGUCCCCCAUUGGUCAAACAGAAAGGAAAUUCUUAAACAAAUUGGAAAUGCAUCCAAAAAUUCCAUAAAUAUUCACAAGUGAACCUAACAUCCAGAAGUAUCAACAUGCAAUAAUUCACAUC